Molecule: ribosomal RNA, 424 nt
Filed under: Verrucomicrobiota bacterium
Lineage: Bacteria; Pseudomonadati; Verrucomicrobiota
Description: Verrucomicrobia bacterium partial 16S ribosomal RNA
Rfam family: Bacterial small subunit ribosomal RNA
Source: RNAcentral
UGAGGAAUAUUGGUCAAUGGGCGAGAGCCUGAACCAGCCAAGUAGCGUGCAGGACGACGGCCCUAUGGGUUGUAAACUGCUUUUAUGUGGGGAUAAAGUGCGUGACGUGUCAUGCAUUGCAGGUACCACAUGAAUAAGUAUCGGCUAACUCCGUGCCAGCAGCCGCGGUAAUACGGAGGAUACGAGCGUUAUCCGGAUUUAUUGGGUUUAAAGGGUGCGUAGGUGGCUGAUUAAGUCAGUGGUGAAAAGCUAUGGCUCAACCAUAGUCUUGCCGUUGAUACUGGUUAGCUUGAGUGUAGAUGAUGUAGGCGGAACGUGUAGUGUAGCGGUGAAAUGCAUAGAUAUUACGCAGAACUCCGAUUGCGAAGGCAGCUUACAAAACUACUACUGACACUGAGGCACGAAAGCGUGGGUAUCAAACAGG